GAUGAAUGCUGGCGGCGUGCCUAACACAUGCAAGUCGAGCGGCGGCGCGAGUAGUUUACUACUUGGCGGCGAGCGGCGGACGGCUGAGUAACGCGUGGGAACAUACCCCAAAGUGAGGGAUAACUGCCCGAAAGGGUGGCUAAUACCGCAUAUGAUCUUAGGAUUAAAGGACUUAUCCGCUUUGGGAGUGGCCUGCGUACGAUUAGAUAGUUGGUGAGGUAAUGGCUCACCAAGUCGACGAUCGUUAGCUGGUCUGAGAGGAUGACCAGCCAGACUGGAACUGAGACACGGUCCAGACUCCUACGGGAGGCAGCAGUGAGGAAUCUUCCACAAUGGGCGAAAGCCUGAUGGAGCAACGCCGCGUGAAGGAUGAAGGCCCUCGGGUUGUAAACUUCUUUUAUAAGUGAAGAAUAUGACGGUAACUUAUGAAUAAGCACCGGCUAACUACGUGCCAGCAGCCGCGGUAA
This 467-nucleotide ribosomal RNA is filed under the name uncultured bacterium. RNAcentral's name for it is "partial 16S ribosomal RNA". It matches the Rfam family "Bacterial small subunit ribosomal RNA", at positions 28 to 523 of the family's 1533-position model. The record is from RNAcentral.